UGGGGAGUGGUCUAAGCUGGCAGGACGCCGGGUUUUGGCCCCGGAGAUUGCAGGUUCGAGCCCUGCCUCCCCAG
This 74-nucleotide transfer RNA is filed under the name Myxococcales bacterium. RNAcentral describes it as "tRNA-Gln". It matches the Rfam family "tRNA". From Rfam's summary of the family: Transfer RNA (tRNA) molecules are approximately 80 nucleotides in length. Lineage: Bacteria; Pseudomonadati; Myxococcota; Myxococcia; Myxococcales. The record is from RNAcentral. RNAcentral also lists the same sequence under 1 other name.